CCAAAGGCGGAUCUCUGCAGGCAUU
RNAcentral lists this non-coding RNA (25 nucleotides) under Cricetulus griseus (Chinese hamster). The record is from RNAcentral. Lineage: Eukaryota; Metazoa; Chordata; Mammalia; Rodentia; Cricetidae.